UGGGAGCAGUUAGGGGUUCGGUGCCUUGCUCGAGGACGCCUUGCCAGUGCCUAGGAGGUGAACUUGCACCUCUGCAGCUACCAGUCCAUACUCCAUAGUUGAACUUCGGUUCCCGAGUCAAGUCCCAGCUAUGGACUGGAUUUAAAAUGUGACAAACAAUAUACCCAGACUGUUAGAUUAUUCGUCAGUUGUUUGAUUGUUUGACUUUCUUCUUUUCCAGAAGGAUUCUCCAUCCAAGCCGUCUGUGGCUGAGCUGGCUGGAAGAUUCAGAGGUCAUAUUCUACCAAUGCCCACCUCAAAUGACGAGUUUCGCAGAAGACCGCCAUGUUCCCUCAAGUUGCAAAAU
This is a long non-coding RNA of Larimichthys crocea (large yellow croaker), 346 nucleotides long. RefSeq lists it as uncharacterized. The record is from RefSeq and is a predicted model, not a curated record. NCBI's taxonomy places the organism in Eukaryota, Metazoa, Chordata, Actinopteri, Sciaenidae. The transcript is spliced from 2 exons.